RNAcentral lists this ribosomal RNA (253 nucleotides) under uncultured prokaryote. Its description in RNAcentral is "partial 16S ribosomal RNA". It matches the Rfam family "Bacterial small subunit ribosomal RNA", at positions 524 to 776 of the family's 1533-position model. The record is from RNAcentral.
UACGGAGGAUCCAAGCGUUAUCCGGAUUUAUUGGGUUUAAAGGGUGCGUAGGCGGAGUAGUAAGUCAGUGGUGAAAGCCUGUCGCUUAACGACAGAACUGCCAUUGAUACUGCUAAUCUUGAGUAUAAUUGAAGUGGGCGGAAUGUGUCGUGUAGCGGUGAAAUGCUUAGAUAUGACACAGAACACCGAUUGCGAAGGCAGCUCACUAAACUAUAACUGACGCUGAGGCACGAAAGCGUGGGGAUCAAACAGG